Small nuclear RNA from Mastomys coucha (southern multimammate mouse), 105 nucleotides. NCBI's taxonomy places the organism in Eukaryota, Metazoa, Chordata, Mammalia, Rodentia, Muridae. The record is from RefSeq and is a predicted model, not a curated record.
GCACUUUGGCAGCACAUAUACUAAAAAUUGGGACGAUACAGAGAAGAUUAGCAUGGCCCCUGCCCAAGGAUGGCAAUGGUAAAUCAUGAAGCAUUCCAUAUUUUA